UUGAACGCUGGCGGCAGGCCUAACACAUGCAAGUCGAACGGUAACAGGAAGAAGCUUGCUUCUUUGCUGACGAGUGGCGGAUGGGUGAGUAAUGUCUGGGAAACUGCCUGAUGGAGGGGGAUAACUACUGGAAACGGUAGCUAAUACCGCAUAACGUCGCAAGACCAAAGAGGGGGACCUUCGGGCCUCUUGCCAUCGGAUGUGCCCAGAUGGGAUUAGCUAGUAGGUGGGGUAACGGCUCACCUAGGCGACGAUCCCUAGCUGGUCUGAGAGGAUGACCAGCCACACUGGAACUGAGACACGGUCCAGACUCCUACGGGAGGCAGCAGUGGGGAAUAUUGCACAAUGGGCGCAAGCCUGAUGCAGCCAUGCCGCGUGUAUGAAGAAGGCCUUCGGGUUGUAAAGUACUUUCAGCGGGGAGGAAGGGAGUAAAGUUAAUACCUUUGCUCAUUGACGUUACCCGCAGAAGAAGCACCGGCUAACUCCGUG
Molecule: ribosomal RNA, 489 nt
Filed under: uncultured bacterium
Lineage: Bacteria
Description: partial 16S ribosomal RNA
Rfam family: Bacterial small subunit ribosomal RNA
Source: RNAcentral